AUUUCAUGUUCAUAACCAGAAGUUGUGUAGAUAGGAGCAACCAUCUAAACCGACUGAGGACAGGUGUUCCUCCCUCUGGGGGACCGCUCUCCCCAUCUCAGGUCCCCGAGUGAGGCCCCCUUGACUUUGUGCUCAAGAGCCACCUGCAGCCUGCGCUCCCCUGGCCCCAGCUGCUCUGGGGUCUGCCCCCCGGAGACAGAAGGUCUGCAAGGGCAGGAGGCUCUGUGUGCUCCGUGCAUUCCGGUGGCCCAACGCUGACCUCCGUCCUUAUUCCAUAAAUAUCUGUGGAAGAAUGAAUGAAUGAAUGAAUGAGCCAUAGGAGAAAUAGUUUUUCCUCACUGAAAGAUGGGGCUCUGAGAACGGCUAGCCUUGGAGAGGUGCUCACUUUCCUUCUGCCUGGACGGUUUCCUUGGGGCAGCCCCCAAAGGACAUUUACUGGGCCUGGGAGCGUGUUCUUCCUAAGGCUCCGGAGACACAGCACCGCACGCCGACUUCCACCCAGGUGAUGUUCAUUUCCGCUCGCCCUGGACGGAGGCGUCCAUUCACCCAACCGCCGUCUUCUGGUUUAAGAACCAAAAUUUGACACUUUUGCACAACUGGCACUCCCUGACGUGGCCCCGCUCCCCCGUCACCACCCUGCGCGCUCCGAGACGAAACGUCAGGGCUCAGCGCCCCCUUCCGUGGAUCAAGUCUCCGAAAGCCAAUAUUGGGCCCCAACCAUGCCCUCCUAGGCAUUUAAAACUAGCAGCGAGCGACGAGGGGGCCAAUGCCAAGUCUGUCACCAGCAAGCCAGCGCCUCCAGCAUCCGGGCUGUGCCAAGCUGAACCUCCCCCACGCGGCUCAGCACCAGCCAGGGCUGAGCAAAGCCCGGCUCCUCCCAGCAGGCUGGAAUCUGCCUCUUUGGGCUCAGUGCUCCACCUCUCUGACCAGAGUGCUGGCUGGUCCCUGUCACAGACUUCUGUCCCCAGGAUCCACUAUAUUCCCCCGACCAGCCCCCGACGGAGCCCUGUGAUACGGCCCUUUGGUGAGCUUCAACCGUGUCGACCCCAGACAUAGGCAUGCGGGUCGGUUUUCUAUUUCACACAUGGGGAUUUUCCAUCUGGCCUUCACUGUUGGUGAACAGUCCCUUCUCCCGCUGAGCAAGGAACAAGAGGCAUCGCACGUGAAUUACUAUUAUUGGGAGCUUCCCGGUGAUGGCAGUUCAGGUCCCUGUUCUGUUCUGAGGCCAUUGUGCUACGCUAUUUAAAAGUCCCAGAGAUAGGGACGCCCGGGGGGCUCAGCCGGUUGAGCGUCCAACUUCGGUCG
Molecule: long non-coding RNA, 1305 nt
Organism: Felis catus (domestic cat)
Lineage: Eukaryota; Metazoa; Chordata; Mammalia; Carnivora; Felidae
Exons: 3
Source: RefSeq, a predicted model, not a curated record